GACGAACGCUGGCGGCGUGCUUAACACAUGCAAGUCGAACGGAAAGGCCCAGCUUUUGCGGGGUGCUCGAGUGGCGAACGGGUGUGUAACACGUGAGUAACCUGCCCUUGACUUUGUGAUAACUUCAGGAAACUGGGGAUAAUACCGGAUAGGAGCUCCUGCUGCAUGGUGGUGGUUGGAAAGUUUCGGCUGUUGGGGAUGGACUUGCGGGUUAUCAGCUUGUUGGUGGGGUAGUGGCUUACCAAGGCUUUGACGGGUAGCCGGCCUGAGAGGGUGGCCAGCCACAAUGGUACUGAGAGACGGCCCAGUCUGCUACGGGAGGCAGCAGUGGGAAAUAUUGCACAGUGGUCGGGAGCCUGAUGCAGCGACGCCGCGUGCGGAAUGACGGCCUUCUGGUUAUAAACCGCUUUCGCCUGUGACGAAGCGGUAGUGACGGUAAUGGGUAAAGAAGCACCGGCUAACUACGUG
Molecule: ribosomal RNA, 468 nt
Filed under: uncultured bacterium
Lineage: Bacteria
Description: partial 16S ribosomal RNA
Rfam family: Bacterial small subunit ribosomal RNA
Source: RNAcentral